AAUUCCUCUCAGCUGCCAGUCUUUUAAUUGGAGAAGUUAAGUUCGUUGGAAGCGGGACUCCCAUUUCCCUAACCUUCCGACCAGCUGCUUGUUGUUCAGCCAUAGGAACAGUACUCCCUUGGUCUUCUUGGAUUUGUGGAAUUCUGGGAAGAAGGAUUAUUUCUGUCUAACAUUGGGAGUAAAGUUGCUCGGGUUCCAGGCUUGGCUCUACCAACUCCCAAUCCCCU
Molecule: long non-coding RNA, 227 nt
Filed under: Capsicum annuum
Lineage: Eukaryota; Viridiplantae; Streptophyta; Magnoliopsida; Solanales; Solanaceae
Description: long non-coding RNA (CANN_LNC011620)
Source: RNAcentral